Molecule: ribosomal RNA, 664 nt
Filed under: uncultured Marinomonas sp.
Lineage: Bacteria; Pseudomonadati; Pseudomonadota; Gammaproteobacteria; Oceanospirillales; Oceanospirillaceae
Description: bacterial SSU rRNA
Rfam family: Bacterial small subunit ribosomal RNA
Source: RNAcentral
AGUCGAGCGGUAACAGGAAUUAGCUUGCUAAUUUGCUGACGAGCGGCGGACGGGAGAGUAACGCGUAGGAAUCUGCCUGGUAGUGGGGGACAACAUGUGGAAACGCAUGCUAAUACCGCAUACGCCCUACGGGGGAAAGGAGGGGAUCUUCGGACCUUUCGCUAUCAGAUGAGCCUGCGUGAGAUUAGCUAGUUGGUGGGGUAAAGGCUCACCAAGGCGACGAUCUCUAGCUGGUCUGAGAGGAUGAUCAGCCACACUGGGACUGAGACACGGCCCAGACUCCUACGGGAGGCAGCAGUGGGGAAUAUUGGACAAUGGGCGCAAGCCUGAUCCAGCCAUGCCGCGUGUGUGAAGAAGGCCUUCGGGUUGUAAAGCACUUUCAGAGGUGAGGAAGGGUGUGCCGUUAAUACCGGUAUGCUUUGACGUUAGCCUCAGAAGAAGCACCGGCUAACUCUGUGCCAGCAGCCGCGGUAAUACAGAGGGUGCGAGCGUUAAUCGGAAUUACUGGGCGUAAAGCGCGCGUAGGUGGUUUGUUAAGUCGGAUGUGAAAGCCCAGGGCUCAACCUUGGAAUUGCACCCGAUACUGGCAAGCUAGAGUACGGUAGAGGGGUGUGGAAUUUCCUGUGUAGCGGUGAAAUGCGUAGAUAUAGGAAGGAACAUCAGU